This 51-nucleotide small RNA is filed under the name Arabidopsis thaliana (thale cress). RNAcentral describes it as "ATSL138360". Lineage: Eukaryota; Viridiplantae; Streptophyta; Magnoliopsida; Brassicales; Brassicaceae. The record is from RNAcentral.
AACGGAAGCAAAAAAAACCUCAUCAUUCUUCAUCUCCUCUCUUCUCUUCUC